Molecule: long non-coding RNA, 1063 nt
Filed under: Panax ginseng (ginseng)
Lineage: Eukaryota; Viridiplantae; Streptophyta; Magnoliopsida; Apiales; Araliaceae
Description: long non-coding RNA (PGIN_LNC010840)
Source: RNAcentral
AAACAAAUAGGGAAAUUUUCAUUACUUCAACUAGUACCGAUUGGUAGUAGAAAGACAUAUAUAGAUUAGUACAAGUGAGGGGAGCACUCUAUUCAGGAUUCCAAGAGAUACUCAGUUUGCUUUUUCGAUGGAAUAUAAGACUAUAUGUUUCUCAGGGGCACAUACGAAAAUGGAAUUUCUUUGUUGUACAAUACAAAAUGAAUUUAACAUAAUUCCCCCGAUAAAAUCCCUUUCCAGCUUAAAAAAUAUCUCCUUCUGGACCCGGUUUUGUUUGUGUAACCUCAAUUACUAAUGUGAAGUUGAAAAAAUCUAUUUCAUUCAAAUGACACACUGAACUUUUGAUAUAUGUGUGUCCUAGUACUAAUAACCUAGGGGGAGGGUACAAAAAAGAAGGAUAAAGAUCCAUUAAAGAUCCUACUCCUCUUAGCAUUAGCAACGGAAUGAAUCAACUUUUUCCUUCCUAUAUUUUCUAUUUUUUUUAGGAGGCCCACCAACGAAAGAACAAACCCUAAACUAAAAAAAAAUAUUGAAAUUUCAUUUGAUAGAAUAUUACUUCUUUUAUCCUCGGACUCAUCUUUAUCACACUUCUUUGUCUUCCAAGAAAAUUAGAUCAUUAAAAAACCGGAGUUUAGAACGUAACUCCUUUAUUUUUCCACUUUGCUUCUAUUGUUUGUUGGGCGUUUGUGACUAAUGGAAAGGGACGGGUGGUCAGAUAAGAUAAUACUUCAUUCGACGAUUGUACAAGGAAGACUUAAGGUAGGUUAUAGAAAAGAAAGAAAAGAAUGAAAAAUAAAGUAAUUUUUGAUUGGGCCGGGAAUCCUAUUUUGGAUUCGGUAUGGAUAAAAGAUCUUCCUAUGUUAUACUAUUCAAUUCGCGACGACAAAUUGAUUUGAUAGCUCAGAUAUUGUUAUUCAUGAUCUUGAUCCGAUUCAAGAUCAUUGAGAGGUAAUUCAUUCAUUGAAUUUAUAGGCGAAAGAUUUAUCAUCUCUAUGGGAUUAAAUCCCGAGUUAUUGUGAAGUAAAAAAAUGAUGAGAUUAUGGAACUAAAUAUUCUUGCAUUUAUU